ACUUAAUUAAUUUAAUUAAAAAUAUUGGUUUGUGGUAUCAAAAAUAUGAGAAGUCAUUUUAAGUU
Molecule: transfer RNA, 65 nt
Filed under: Megathymus cofaqui cofaqui
Lineage: Eukaryota; Metazoa; Arthropoda; Insecta; Lepidoptera; Hesperiidae
Description: tRNA-His
Source: RNAcentral